GCUGGCGGCAGGCCUAACACAUGCAAGUCGAGCGGUAACAGAUCUAGCUUGCUANAUGCUGACGAGCGGCGGACGGGUGAGUAAUGCAUAGGAAUCUGCCCGGUAGUGGGGGAUAACCUGGGGAAACCCAGGCUAAUACCGCAUACGUCCUACGGGAGAAAGGGGGCUUCGGCUCCCGCUAUUGGAUGAGCCUAUGUCGGAUUAGCUAGUUGGUGAGGUAAAGGCUCACCAAGGCAACGAUCCGUAGCUGGUCUGAGAGGAUGAUCAGCCACAUCGGGACUGAGACACGGCCCGAACUCCUACGGGAGGCAGCAGUGGGGAAUAUUGGACAAUGGGGGCAACCCUGAUCCAGCCAUGCCGCGUGUGUGAAGAAGGCCCUCGGGUUGUAAAGCACUUUCAGCGAGGAAGAACGCCUAGCGGUUAAUACCCGUUAGGAAAGACAUCACUCGCAGAAGAAGCACCGGCUAACUCCGUGCCAGCAGCCGCGGUAAUACGGAGGGUGCAAGCGUUAAUCGGAAUUACUGGGCGUAAAGCGCGCGUAGGUGGCUUGAUAAGCCGGUUGUGAAAGCCCCGGGCUCAACCUGGGAACGGCAUCCGGAA
RNAcentral lists this ribosomal RNA (600 nucleotides) under Halomonas sp. YIM C301. RNAcentral describes it as "bacterial SSU rRNA". It matches the Rfam family "Bacterial small subunit ribosomal RNA", at positions 35 to 632 of the family's 1533-position model. The record is from RNAcentral. Lineage: Bacteria; Pseudomonadati; Pseudomonadota; Gammaproteobacteria; Oceanospirillales; Halomonadaceae.